UCUCGAUAUCCUGACCUCGUGAUCUGCCCGCCUCCACCUCCCAAAGUGCUGGAAUUACAGAGUCAACAACAAUGGUUCCACGAACUGCUGGAGAAAACAAAUGCCUCUUAUUAGAGGCAACAACGAUAGUUCCAUGAACUGAUGGAGAAAAUGAAUUGAAUGACUCUCGGACCACAUUUUCCAGUGGCAUAGUCAUCAGAGGAAGGAGAGCCUACCCAGUGUGAUGUGAAUAAAUGGAUGAAGUUCUACUUUGUUACUGCUUCAUGGCCCAGUUUCCUAAUGCAGGUUACGGAUUAUGCAAGUUUACAACAUCAUCUAACUUGGCACCAAUCUGGGCGAAUCUAGAGCAGUGGCCAGUUUGUGAUGAGCCACAUCCAGAAUGCAGUGGGGGAGCUCACAACUGGACAUCUUAGCAAAUACCAAAUCCAGAAGUGAAUCCCUACAAUGUGAGAAGACUCUCACAAUUGCCUUUCUCAAGAACACCACCUUGGCCACUUCACCUUUCUCUGAAGAGCACCACUCGUCUUUCCCCGGAAGGAUGGAUGCAGGAUGCUGCCUCCACAGGGCCACAGAAGCCAUUGUUCCAAGAAGCACCGGCUUCUUGGGCUUUUAGCUUAAUGGAUUUCCAUGUUAGGACCUAGACUUCUGUCUCUCCCUUAUUUUCCCACCAAUCCCCACAGCAGAAUGCAGUCCUCUUCCAAAUAUCUCCAACAGUUGACCGCUCAUCUUCCCGUCAAGCUGUCAGUGAGAGUCUAUUAAAUGGCCCAAUCUUGAAAUCCUUCUGAUGAACACAAAUGAGAAAUAAACUUAUGAAACAGCUCCGAGUUACAUUUAAGUCUCUCCAUUUCCUUUAGUUUCUCUUUGCUCCAAGGCUUGAAUAUAAAAUGGAGACAGGGUUUCGGCGACAGAUGGCAGAGGAUAAUCUUUCAUUUUGUCAUAAAGUUAACCCUCAGAGGGGCCUGAAAAGAC
Piliocolobus tephrosceles (Ugandan red Colobus) is the source of this 969-nucleotide long non-coding RNA. RefSeq lists it as uncharacterized. The record is from RefSeq and is a predicted model, not a curated record. Lineage: Eukaryota; Metazoa; Chordata; Mammalia; Primates; Cercopithecidae. The transcript has 5 exons.